RNAcentral lists this long non-coding RNA (795 nucleotides) under Brassica napus (rape). RNAcentral's name for it is "long non-coding RNA (BNAP_LNC023576)". The record is from RNAcentral. Lineage: Eukaryota; Viridiplantae; Streptophyta; Magnoliopsida; Brassicales; Brassicaceae.
CUUAAUUUAAAAUUUUUCAUUUGUUUCUUAUGGAACAAUAUUAUCAUAAAAAUUCAAAAACAUUAUAUGUUUAUAAAAUUUAAAAGGGCCGGGUGAGGAUGUUGGUGAUGUCGGCGGUAUUUCUGGGCUGGUUGUUGAUGUGGCGGUGGCUGAGCCAGCUCAGGUAGAGGUCGAUGUCAUUGAGGUUCCUGAAGUCGGCGCUGCUGAAGGUUGUUCAUAGAUUCAACUUUAAUUACUAUCUAUCAAGUUACUAUUAAGUCCUCUUUCAGAUCUGUUUUUUUUUUUUGUUUAUUCUUUGUUUCUAGCUUAGAAUUCUAUUCAAUCAUAACAUUAUUCUUUUCAAUCAUAACAUUACUUUAUUCACUAUAUUAUUUGACUUAAAUGACCUUAGUUGGUCUUGAGGGGGUUUUGGCACUGGUUCUCUCCCCCUUGGGGUGUGGAGUAGCCACUGCAAGAGCACUCAUGGUCGUGUCCGUGAACUUUGUGGCCACCUUGUUGUGUUCGGUGUCGGCGGCGUUUCUGGGCCAGUUGUUGAUGUAGCGGUGGCUGAGCCAGCUCAGGUAGAGGUCGAUGUCGUUGAGAGUUCCUGAAGUCGGCGCUGCUGAAGGUUGUUCGUAGAUUCAACUUUAUUUAUUAUCUAUCAAGUUACUAUUAAGUCAUCUUUCAGAUCUGUUUUUUCUUUGUUUGUUCUUUGUCGUGUCUUUGUUUCUAGUGUCGAUGUCGUUUCUCCGGUUAAAUGCCCUUUUACAGAAUGGUAAUCAAUGAAAAUGUUUUUAUUAAAAUAUCUCCUCUAUC